Long non-coding RNA from Homo sapiens (human), 781 nucleotides. The record is from Ensembl. NCBI's taxonomy places the organism in Eukaryota, Metazoa, Chordata, Mammalia, Primates, Hominidae.
ACUGACUUCCUUCGCACUCAGCCCACUCGCACCCGGGUGAAUAAACAGCCUUUGUUGCUCACACUUAGCCUGUUCAAGUUGUCUCUUCAAUUAGAUGCUCGCAUAACAUUUGGUGCCGAAAGCCCGGGAUAGGGGAACUCCUCCGGCAGACCUCUCCUCUAUCCUCCCGGUACCCACGUUCUCCCAUGCAAGAGACUUCCCUCGCCCUCAGGACCUCAGACCAGCUCCGCGAGCACUCCGGCCUCUGUCUAUGGAUAUGAUCUCCUCGGCUUGGCGGCUGAAGACUGACGCUGCCCGAACGUCUCGGAGGCCCCUUAGACAAUCGCGGAUGCCGAGCUUCGGGUAACUCUUAGGGUGGAGGCAUAAAAAGACAGGAAUGUAAGGUCCUCUGAGCAGGCGGCGCCAUGGUCAAGCCAUCGUGACCCCUGUGACUCACACGUACACAUCCAGAAGGUCUCCUGGAGCCAGAAAGUCUGGGACGACAGGAAAACCACAAAAGAAGAAAAACGGCUAGUUCCUGUCUUAGCUGAUCAGCCAACCUUGUGACAUUCUAUCAUUGUAACAGGCUGUACCCUAACUGAUCAAUCAACCUCAUGACACUGUGCUCUGUAACCUUAUGAUAAUGUACCUUAUGACAUUCUUCCCCUGCCCUCAAUAAACAGCUCCGAACUAUAACUUUCCACUGCUUACCCCUAAAGUAUAAAACUAGCUCCAACCCCACCACUUCCUUUUCGGACUCAGCCCACCCGCACCCAGUGAAUAAACAACCUUGUUGCUCACA